This 487-nucleotide ribosomal RNA is filed under the name uncultured bacterium. Its description in RNAcentral is "partial 16S ribosomal RNA". It matches the Rfam family "Bacterial small subunit ribosomal RNA", at positions 28 to 507 of the family's 1533-position model. The record is from RNAcentral.
GAUGAACGCUAGCGGUAUGCUUAACACAUGCAAGUCGAGGGGCAGGACAAGGUGGCUUGCUUUGUUGGUUGCGACCGGCGCACGUGUGCAUAACGCGUAUACAACUUGCGCUAUACAGGGAUAUAACCGGUCAAAAGGCGCACUAAUACUACUUCAGCUCACAACGUAUCGUCAAUGGGUGAAAGGCGGAGUUCGGUAUAAGAUAGGCAUGCGUCCCAUUCGCUUUUGGGUGAUGUAACGGCUGACGAAGGCAACGAUGGCGAGGGGAACUGGGAGUUUUAUCCCUCACACUGGUACUGGGACACGGACCAGACGCGUACGGGAGGCAGCAGUGCGGACGAUUGGUGAAUGGGCGCGAGCCUGAAACAGCCAAGUCGCGUGAAGGAUGACUGUGUUAUGGAUCGUAAACUUCUUUUAUAAGGGAAUAACAAGAGUCAAGGGUGACUCCGUGAAGGUACCGUAUGAAGAAGCCCCGGCUAACUACGUG